GGGGGAAUAUUGGACAAUGGGCGCAAGCCUGAUCCAGCCAUGCCGCGUGAGUGAUGAAGGCCCUAGGGUUGUAAAGCUCUUUCACCGGUGAAGAUAAUGACGGUAACCGGAGAAGAAGCCGCGGCUAACUUCGUGCCAGCAGCCGCGGUAAUACGAAGGGGGCUAGCGUUGUUCGGAUUUAGUGGGCGUAAAGCGCACGUAGGCGGACUAUUAAGUCAGGGGUGAAAUCCCGGGGCUCAACCCCGGAACUGCCUUUGAUACUGGUAGUCUUGAGUUCGAGAGAGGUGAGGGGAAUUCCGAGUGUAGAGGUGAAAUUCGUAGAUAUUCGGAGGAACACCAGUGGCGAAGGCGGCUCACUGGCUCGAUACUGACGCUGAGGUGCGAAAGCGUGGGGAGCAAACAAG
RNAcentral lists this ribosomal RNA (404 nucleotides) under Actinomycetes bacterium. RNAcentral's name for it is "Actinobacteria bacterium partial 16S ribosomal RNA". It matches the Rfam family "Bacterial small subunit ribosomal RNA", at positions 355 to 776 of the family's 1533-position model. Lineage: Bacteria; Bacillati; Actinomycetota; Actinomycetes. The record is from RNAcentral.